AGUGAACGCUGGCGGUAGGCCUAACACAUGCAAGUCGAACGGCAGCACAGGAGAGCUUGCUCUCUGGGUGGCGAGUGGCGGACGGGUGAGGAAUACAUCGGAAUCUACUCUGUCGUGGGGGAUAACGUAGGGAAACUUACGCUAAUACCGCAUACGACCUACGGGUGAAAGCAGGGGACCUUCGGGCCUUGCGCGAUUGAAUGAGCCGAUGGCGGAUGAGCUAGUUGGCGGGGUAAAGGCCCACCAAGGCGACGAUCCGUAGCUGGUCUGAGAGGAUGAUCAGCCACACUGGAACUGGGACACGGUCCAGACUCCUACGGGAGGCAGCAGUGGGGAAUAUUGGACAAUGGGCGCAAGCCUGAUCCAGCCAUACCGCGUGGGUGAAGAAGGCCUUCGGGUUGUAAAGCCCUUUUGUUGGGAAAGAAAUCCAGCUGGCUAAUACCCGGUUGGGAUGACGGUACCCAAAGAAUAAGCACCGGCUAACUUCGUGCCAGCAGCCGCCGCCG
RNAcentral lists this ribosomal RNA (506 nucleotides) under uncultured bacterium. Its description in RNAcentral is "partial 16S ribosomal RNA". It matches the Rfam family "Bacterial small subunit ribosomal RNA", at positions 29 to 523 of the family's 1533-position model. The record is from RNAcentral.